RNAcentral lists this transfer RNA (85 nucleotides) under Felis catus (domestic cat). It matches the Rfam family "tRNA". From Rfam's summary of the family: Transfer RNA (tRNA) molecules are approximately 80 nucleotides in length. Their secondary structure includes four short double-helical elements and three loops (D, anti-codon, and T loops). Further hydrogen bonds mediate the characteristic L-shaped molecular structure. tRNAs have two regions of fundamental functional importance: the anti-codon, which is responsible for specific mRNA codon recognition, and the 3' end, to which the tRNAs corresponding amino acid is attached (by aminoacyl-tRNA synthetases). tRNAs cope with the degeneracy of the genetic code in two manners: having more than one tRNA (with a specific anti-codon) for a particular amino acid; and 'wobble' base-pairing, i.e. permitting non-standard base-pairing at the 3rd anti-codon position. RNAcentral also lists the same sequence under 5 other names. Lineage: Eukaryota; Metazoa; Chordata; Mammalia; Carnivora; Felidae. The record is from Rfam by way of RNAcentral.
GCCUGGGUGGCUCAGUCAGUUGAGCGUCUGACUUCGGCUCAGGUCAUGAUCUCACAGUUCGUGGGUUCGAGCCCCGUGUCGGGCU